AGCAGCCGCGGUAAUUCCAGCUCCAAUAGCGUAUAUUAAAGUUGUUGCAGUUAAAAAGCUCGUAGUUGAAUUUCGGGACCAAUCUGCCGGUCGUGCCUCCGGUACGCACUGGUUUUAUUGGUUUCUCCCUUCUGACGAACCAUGAUGUCAUUAAUUUGGUGUCAUGGGGAAUCAGGACUGUUACUUUGAAAAAAUUAGAGUGUUUAUAGCAGGCUCACGCUUGAAUACAUUAGCAUGGAAUAAUGAAAUAGGACGUUUGACCCUAUUUUGUUGGUUUCUAGGAUCGACGUAAUGAUUAAUAGGGAUAGUUGGGGGCAUUAGUAUUCAAUUGUCAGAGAUGAAAUUCUUGGAUUUAUUGAAGACUAACUAACUGCGAAAGCAUUUGCCAAGGAUGUUUUCAUUAAUCAAGAACGAAAGUUAGGGGAUCGAAGACGAUCAGAUACCGUCGUAGUCUUAACCAUAAACUAAUGCCGACUAGGGAUCGGAUGAUGUUAAUUUUUAAUGACUCAUUCGGCGCCUU
This 520-nucleotide ribosomal RNA is filed under the name uncultured Glomus. Its description in RNAcentral is "SSU rRNA". It matches the Rfam family "Eukaryotic small subunit ribosomal RNA", at positions 569 to 1089 of the family's 1831-position model. Lineage: Eukaryota; Fungi; Glomeromycota; Glomeromycetes; Glomerales; Glomeraceae. The record is from RNAcentral.